UCCCUGGUGGUCCAGUGGUUAAGACACCAUGCCUCCAAUGCACGGGGCUCAGGUUCGAUCCCUGGUCAGGGAA
Ovis aries (sheep) is the source of this 73-nucleotide transfer RNA. It matches the Rfam family "tRNA". Rfam says of the family: Transfer RNA (tRNA) molecules are approximately 80 nucleotides in length. Their secondary structure includes four short double-helical elements and three loops (D, anti-codon, and T loops). Lineage: Eukaryota; Metazoa; Chordata; Mammalia; Artiodactyla; Bovidae. The record is from Rfam.